RNAcentral lists this non-coding RNA (192 nucleotides) under Anaerotruncus rubiinfantis. RNAcentral describes it as "6S RNA". It matches the Rfam family "6S / SsrS RNA". From Rfam's summary of the family: E. coli 6S RNA was the first non coding RNA to be sequenced, but its function was unknown until recently. It consists of 184 nucleotides that fold into an extended hairpin structure with a large single-stranded internal bulge. The record is from RNAcentral. Lineage: Bacteria; Bacillati; Bacillota; Clostridia; Eubacteriales; Oscillospiraceae. RNAcentral also lists the same sequence under 1 other name.
CACUCCCUGCUGUACACGACAGCUUCGCCCUUUAUACUCCGAUAACUGUAUAACGGGAGUCCAUAUUCCGCAGCGGAUUGCAGACCUCCCCGGCAACGGGACGAAGGGAGCAGGAACCUGUGGAGCGGACGUACCCACCUUGUCAUAAGACGGGGUUUGCAGCCGGCGGGGCAUCGAUAUGGCGGGGUCACA